This 466-nucleotide ribosomal RNA is filed under the name uncultured bacterium. RNAcentral describes it as "partial 16S ribosomal RNA". It matches the Rfam family "Bacterial small subunit ribosomal RNA", at positions 28 to 507 of the family's 1533-position model. The record is from RNAcentral.
GAUGAACGCUGGCGGCGUGCCUAAUACAUGCAAGUCGAACGAAGAAGCCAAGCGCGCUGGCUGGAGUAGUGGCCAACGGGCGAGUGACAAGCGAGUAACCAGCCCUCAACUCAGGGAUAAGUCAGGGCGACAGGGUCUAACACAGGCCAGGUGAGUCCACCAAACGGAGGGUGCUGGAGUGAUUUACCGGUUUUGGCUGGACUCGCGGCGUAUCCGCGUGUUGGUGAGGAAAUGGCUAACCAAGGCGACGACGGGUAGCCGGCCUGAGAGGGUGACCGGCCACACUGGGACUGAGACACGGCCCAGACUCCAACGUGAGGCAGCAGUGGGGAAUAUUGCGCAAUGGGCGCAAGCCUGAUGCAGCGGCGCCGCGUGAGGGAUGACGGCCUUCGGGUUGUAAACCUCUUUCAGUAGGGAAGAAGCGAAAGUGACGGUACCUGCAGAAGAAGCACCGGCUAACUACGUG